GAUCCUGGCUCAGAACGAACGCUGGCGGCAUGGAUUAGGCAUGCAAGUUGAACGAACUCCUUCGGGAGUGAGUAGCGGAAGGGUGAGGAACGCGUGAGUAAUCUGCCCCCCAGUUGGGAAUAACAGUUGGAAACGACUGCUAAUACCGAAUGUGGCUUAAGCUUCGCCUGGAGCUUUGGCUAAAGAUUUAUCGCUGGGGGAUGAGCUCGCGUCCCAUUAGGUAGUUGGUGAGGUAACGGCUCACCAAGCCGACGAUGGGUAGCUGGUCUGAGAGGAUGGUCAGCCACACUGGGACUGAGACACUGCCCAGACUCCUACGGGAGGCUGCAGUCGAGAAUCUUGGGCAAUGCGCGAAAGCGUGACCCAGCAAUGCCGCGUGUAUGAUGAAGGCCCUCGGGUCGUAAAGUACUGUCUCCCGUGACGAAAUUUGACGGUAGCGGGGAAGGAAGCCACGGCUAACUACGUGCCAGCCGCCGC
Molecule: ribosomal RNA, 477 nt
Filed under: uncultured bacterium
Lineage: Bacteria
Description: bacterial SSU rRNA
Rfam family: Bacterial small subunit ribosomal RNA
Source: RNAcentral